This 985-nucleotide ribosomal RNA is filed under the name Meiothermus sp. Its description in RNAcentral is "bacterial SSU rRNA". It matches the Rfam family "Bacterial small subunit ribosomal RNA", at positions 54 to 1074 of the family's 1533-position model. The record is from RNAcentral. Lineage: Bacteria; Thermotogati; Deinococcota; Deinococci; Thermales; Thermaceae.
AAUGCAAGUCGAACGGGCUGUUUAUGCAGCCAGUGGCGGACGGGUGAGUAACACGUAUGUGACCUACCCCAAAGUCUGGGACAACUAGGAGAAAUCUUAGCUAAUCCUGGAUGUGGACAUCUACUUUGGUGGAUGUUUAAAGCUUCGGCGCUUUGGGAUGGGCCUGCGGCGCAUCAGGUAGUUGGUGGGGUAAUGGCCUACCAAGCCGACGACGCGUAGCUGGUCUGAGAGGACGAUCAGCCACAGGGGUACUGAGACACGGACCCAACUCCUACGGGAGGCAGCAGUUAGGAAUCUUCCGCAAUGGGCGAAAGCCUGACGGAGCGAUACCGCUUGAAGGACGAAGCCCUUCGGGGUGUAAACUUCUGAACUCGGGACGAUAAUGACGGUACCGAGGUAAUAGCACCGGCUAACUCCGUGCCAGCAGCCGCGGUAAUACGGAGGGUGCGAGCGUUACCCGGAUUUACUGGGUGUAAAGGGCGUGUAGGCGGUCUCUCAAGUCCGAUGCUAAAGACCGAAGCUCAACUUCGGGGGUGCGUUGGAUACUGUGAGGCUAGACGGUCGGAGAGGGUAGCGGAAUUUCCGGAGUAGCGGUGAAAUGCGCAGAUACCGGAAGGAACGCCAAUAGCGAAAGCAGCUACCUGGACGAUUUGUGACGCUGAGGCGCGAAAGCGUGGGGAGCAAACCGGAUUAGAUACCCGGGUAGUCCACGCCCUAAACGAUGAGUGCUGGGUGUCCGACAUCUGUUGGGUGCCGUAGCUAACGCGUUAAGCACUCCACCUGGGAAGUACGGUCGCAAGACUGAAACUCAAAGGAAUUGACGGGGGCCCGCACAAGCGGUGGAGCAUGUGGUUUAAUUCGAAGCAACGCGCAGAACCUUACCAGGUCUUGACAUCCACGGAACCCUGGUGAAAGCCGGGGGUGCCCGCAAGGGACCCGUGAGACAGGUGCUGCAUGGUCGUCGUCAGCUCGUGUCGUGGAAAUG